This 1529-nucleotide long non-coding RNA is filed under the name Panax ginseng (ginseng). RNAcentral describes it as "long non-coding RNA (PGIN_LNC018255)". Lineage: Eukaryota; Viridiplantae; Streptophyta; Magnoliopsida; Apiales; Araliaceae. The record is from RNAcentral.
GCAAUUAUUGUAAAGUUAUUUUAUAGACCUGCAUUGACUUGCUUAUGAAGGGAAGAAAAAUAUUAAACAAGUUAAAAAGAAAACAAAAAAGCAAUGCAUAUCUGUCGUAAAUAAUUUCAGUAUGUCUUUCAUUUUUCGUUUGCCGGAGAAGUUUAACAUUUGAAUUCUUCUCUCUGAUUUUUUGAAACAAAAAUUAUUUUCUUUUGAAAGCUUGUUUAUUGCCCCCCUCUUAAUUGCAUAUUUCAAGAUUCUGCUGCUUGUAAAUUGUGAUAUAUUGAUUAUAUUCUAACAAUUCUUACACGUGCCUAUAUGUUAAUACAGAAAAGAGAAACAGACAAAGAAUUGGCUCUCACAUUAUGGAAUUCUUUCAAGACAGUAUCUCUACUCUUAGGGGUAUGCCCUUGGCAAACUAGAUUUUGACAAUUCAAGUUUAAUUAUCAUACUUAUAAUAUAUAGCCAAUUUGCCAACAUUAUAUUUUUAUUGAUGAUUUAUUUAACUACCAAUUGCAUCGCUAUUGAUCCAUAAAUUGAAUUGAAUGAUUUGCUGGUAAUAUCUUCUCUAUUUUCAGAAAGUAACAUCAUUUUACAAGUCUUUUAUCGCCUGAAAAGCUGACACCCAGAUAUUCUACUAGAGUUUGUAAUGCUAUUGCUUUACUCCAGGUAAUCAUUACUCUCUUUAUUUCAAAAUUAGAUAACAUUUUGAAUUCUUGAAGUAAGUUUACAAAAUCUUUAUGUUAAAGACUAUGUAUUUAUGAAUCUUUAUGUCUUUGAUUGUACCUUUAGCGUGUAGAAAAUUUGUGAAACCGAUGUUUCUUUUUUCCCUGUUAGGAUCCAUCUUAUUCUUUUUGGUUGCUUUUGUUUCAUGCAGCGAAACGCUCUUGAAAUGGCAAUGAAUACCAAUGGUGAUAUUGAUUUGGGACAUGAGCGGAAGACAGUGGCGAGGCAUGUACAUUUAAUUUCUAGAUAUUAUUUUUUUGGAUCUUUAUUGCCAUUUAUAUCUUUACACUGCUUAUAGCCCAUUUUACACUGUGCAGGUGGUGUACAGGUUUACAGUUCAUUGAUAUGGAUCUUUUUCUGUUAUUUUCUGUUAUAAGUUUUUUAUGGAUAGUUUAAUUAGGUAGUAGUUUAAUUUUAUGGAUAGUUUGGUAUAUUUUGUGGAUGUAGUCAAAUUCACAAUUCAAUAUAGUAGUAAUUAUAUUGAAAAGUGAAUUUGAUAUGUAUGGAUAGUUUGGCAUUAUUGAGAUGUAAACGUAUUAUAUGGUAUUAAUAUUCUUUGUAAUUGGCAUUACAAAGAAUUAUUGGGAUGUAAACGUAUUGUAUGGUAUUAAUAUUCUUUAUAAUUUUAGCUAUAUACCAUGGCAUUAACAUAUUGCAGGUGAAUUGGUAAUAUAGGUGAACCACAACUUUUUUUUUCUUUUUUUUUUAAAUCUACAUCAUUUUAAAAACGUUGUGUGAAAGUGCCUAAACGUUGUCUGAUAUAUUAAACUACAACGUUUUUAUCCAAAAAACGUUGUGGAAUCAUACAUUCU